This is a long non-coding RNA of Aethalodelphis obliquidens (Pacific white-sided dolphin), 3633 nucleotides long. RefSeq lists it as uncharacterized. The record is from RefSeq and is a predicted model, not a curated record. The transcript is spliced from 4 exons. Lineage: Eukaryota; Metazoa; Chordata; Mammalia; Artiodactyla; Delphinidae.
UAUACUGCCCAGUUCGCUUCAGUGCCACAUACCAACUGGAGUAUUUCCUUGACCGGUAAGUAUUGUAGUUAUUAGAUUCCAAUCGUUCAAAAAAGAAACACUCGUCUGUAACACAUUUCUGAAAAACAAAGGAAAAAUUAGUAGUUGUUGUCAUACUUUUCAGGUUAAAUAUUUAAUGACAGUACACAGUGCUUUGGGUUCAACAGGACGAUCAAACUAGUGAGACUCAACAGGCCAAAAUCUGACACAAUCUGAGUCUGCAGAAAGACACAGGACAGGAACACAGCGUAUCAGCAGGACAGUUUCAAGCACAUUUCUUCGGAGGAGCAGUCCAAGGACCAUUCUCCAGCCCCACGAUGGACAGGUCAGGUGCUAGGCAGCAGGAGCACACAGGUGGUGUAGGAACCACACUGGCUCAGACUUGAAACAUCCCAUGAACAUAGAUUUCAGUGGUCUCCAAAAGGGACAUACAUCCAGUAACAAGAAAGACCUAAAAGUGAUUAAUAGCUCCUGUAGUCGGCUUCUAGAGAUAAGAAUUUUACUGGAUAUUUACUUGGCUUUAAUGUUUUGACUACUGUUAACUGAACUUUUAAAAACUGAAAUGCAAACUUAUCUAGUUUGCUCUUUUUUUUUUUUUUGUAACUUACUAAGAAAGUAACUUAAGUGCAAAUAAAUCACAGGUAGCCUUACAAAGAAGCACACAUUGCACGAGGACCCAGCUAUACGAUACCCAGGACUGUCUCAUGAGUUUCAAAGAGAUUCAAAUGUAAUAACAGUGGCACGGAUACUCUGCAGCCAAUACUUGCUACCUUUGGUGAAAUUAUUGUGCUUCCUUUGUUAACUGAAGUUAACCUGGUUUACUCUAUCUUGUCACUUUUUAGUGCCACCAAUAAAAAUCUUCCUCUUUCUCUAUUCCAGGUUUAAGGUCAGGAGUUGAAAAGUAAAGAGUGAAAGGAAAAGGCAUGUAAUCAUAAAGAUAACAUGAAAGGUCAGCACUGAGCUUCAUGGGCUAAUUUCCCAGAAAUAGACCUAAACCACAUCAGUCAGUUAUCCUCAGGACGUUGAUAUGCUCAUUUUUUGGUGUUCAGUCAGCCUACAGGGUGCCCCACCUUGCUAGUUAGCACUCCCUAUAAUGCUUGGCCAACUGGGAUACAUACCAUGCCAGUAAUAUUUGCCUUCUCAGCCAGUUGCUAGUAUUUUAGAGAAAAGAAAUAGUACCAGGGAUUAAGUGGAUAAUAUUGAUACAUUAUGGAAACCACAGUUUGUUUUUUUUUUUAAAAAAAACAGAGGUUACUUGUACCUUUUUACACAGAGGGGAGAGAAGGAAAUUGUGCCUCUGUGCUGAACAUUCAGACAUGUAAGUUUACUAAACAGCUAAUGUGCACUUGAAAACAAACUGCACUUUUUUAAUGGGUAGUAGAGCCAAAAUUCAGUCUCAAUAAAAGCAUGCAUCUAACAUCCCAUUUUAAGCAAUUUUCAGUUCUCUCCAUCCUAAGUUUACAAAUCAUCUUCAUUGGUUGUGAUGUCAAUAAUCCUGUUAAAAACGGAUGCAGUGUAAUUUUUUUAACCUUUAUAAACAUAUUCACAGAGCUUUUUUCCUAUACUCAAUGUUUAACUGCUCACCAUUUCAAACUUAAGAGAAAAGGAGAUCUUCAGAGGACAUCACAGAGGAAGUGGGCGCUGGGAUACAUCAGUGAACAAAACUGAACAAAGAUCCCUGCCUUUGUGCUGGUCCGAUUCUCACUGGGGGAGACACAAAAUAAGCAUUGUCUCUUCCCAUUGUCACCUGAGUGAGGUCCCUGCUGACAUCCCCAGCUACAGUGUCUUUCAUCAUCAGUGAUUCGUCUCAACCUGUUAAACAGUGGAACAGAUGCUAUUAAUAGCCAAGGGUCAAGACUUUUAAUUUCUUGCCUGAAAGUUGCUAUUGUUGACAGCUCAGUGCCUAUGGAUCUGACUCAGAGGAAAAUAUGCCACCUCCUGAAUCAACACCACCUCCUUGGUUUGGGGGUAAGUGUCCCUUAUUUCAGGGAUACUUACUUUUUCAUCUGAAAAUUGACACAGCCCACCCAGACUAAUCUGAAAAAGGAUUGCUGCUGAAGAGGCAAGGCAGCGAGCCACACAAAUUGAAUGAUGAACCUGUGUUCUCAAGAUAAAUAACCCCUCCAAUGACUAUCUUACAGGGCCACCAUGAUUACCAGAUUACUGGAUCUUCUAAUCUCUUUAAGUGGAAAACCACAGGGUAACGAUCUGAAGUCACAAGACAGACAUAGCAAAGUCUAGAGCUUUAAAACCAUUUUGACUAGUGCCAAUUUGACUAGCGUUGUCCAUAGUUGAGACAGAAGCAAAUGUUGUAUGUAUUUACUUUCUUUCCUCUACCACCUUUACUGUCUGACAGUAGCCAAAUCAACACUAUUGCAGGAGACAAAGUGAUGCACACUGUGUUUUGUUACAUCCCGAGGUGAGAAGAGUAGGGUUAUCCCCUCUUCUCUCUACAAGGUCAAGGUCAUCCAAAAUUACCCAUUGAUUCACUGUCCUGGAAAUACUUUAAAUGCUAUUUCAGUAGAUUCCCAAAGUAUUACAUCAUCCCUUGAGAUGACAACAGGCUGGUAGAAAAAAAAAAACAGUGGAAGAAGUGAAAGUUCCAAGUAGUCAGCCUUUCAUAGCUAUGCUUUUUUUGCCUAGGAAACCUCAUCCAUUUCCCCUGCUUUAGCCGCCGCAUAUAUGCUCAUGACGCCCAAAUCUAUUAUCGACACAACACCUCUCCUCUAAACUCCAGACCCCAACUCCAACUAUGUAGUGAACAUCUUCACCUGAAUUUCUUAGGCACCUCAAACUAGAUAAGACCAAAUAAAUGUGAGCCUGUCUUACCUUUUCCCAGAACUUGCUCUUUUCCUCUUCCCCUUUCUCAUCUACCUCCUCAUCCAAACUAGAAACCUGGAUGUCAUCUUUGACUCUUUCCUCGACUCUACUCGUAACUCGGGUCAGCCUCAGUGCUCACACUUUACUCCAUCCUCUUCAUCCUGUCACUGCCAGGUUCUGAUCAUCACUUGCUUGGACUAUUCCCAUGGCCUUCUAACUGGCCUGUCUCCACCAGCCUUGGACCCCUCAAAUCCGUCCUCUGCGCUGCUGCCAGAGAGCUCUUUCUUGAAUUCAAAUCUCAUGUGUCUCUUAAAACGCUUUAUGGCUUCCCACUGCCGAGAGCAGCAUGGUGCUAUCAGGUACUUCAGCGGGCAGUUUACCUGCUUCUCCGGCCUCAUCUUUUCCCCUCUACCUUCUGUUGCCUUUGCACCUUACACUCCAGCAGGAGUGAAUUGUAAUUCUGGAGAAACCCCUAGUAAGCCUUCCGCAUCCAUGCCUGUGCCAUGUCCUAGAAUUAUCUAUAUCCUGAUCUCCAUUCCUCUGUUCCCGAACUGCCUGAUAAACUCCUUCCUCUACAUUAUGUCAAAUCCUCUUGGUAGGUCAUUUUUGCCAAUCUAGACAAGUUUAAUCGCUCCUUCCUUUAUUUCUAUGCAUACAUGCAGCAUAUAGAAGAACACACCGAAGCCACCCCUUACACAUUAUUACGAAUACUUAUUUACACUUCUGCCUCCCCAGAUUGUCACUUAUUAAAGGCACAGGCCAUUUUGUAUUCAG